UGACUCUGGUUUCUCUAUAAUAGCAAGUCUUUCGCCUUUUACUAAAGACUCCUGGAGAGGAACAAACAUGAGUUGAAUAUAUUUUUGUAUAUUGCUGUAUGGCUGAGCCAU
This is a small nuclear RNA of Hippoglossus stenolepis (Pacific halibut), 111 nucleotides long. RefSeq annotates it as U5 spliceosomal RNA. The record is from RefSeq and is a predicted model, not a curated record. The transcript has a single exon. Lineage: Eukaryota; Metazoa; Chordata; Actinopteri; Pleuronectiformes; Pleuronectidae.